GAAUCAAAACCAACAGUUAGCAGGAUCCAUACUGGGGAAAAACUGGCUGGGCAUCACAGUCAUUCCAUGCACCAAGUGGCAGAUUUGGGGGACUAGCCAGUGCAAAGUACCAGGAGAAGAGACACAGCUUAACAACAUGAUAAGAAACAAAAAGAAAACACACAUCAACAGGCCACACCCUGGAGAUUUGAUGCACUGAAGCUUUCAGAAGUCUUGCAUGCUGUUUCCACUGGAGAACUGAUUGUGUCACAUUGCCAUGAUUCAUCCAGUGUCUGCCUUCCCUUAUACUCUGGGCAGAGAUGAACCCUUCUUUGCCAUCUCUCCAGCCGCAUAAAGUCACUGAAGCAUUAUAUUGGCUCAGUCAUUGUGGGUUGAUGAAUCCAGUGAGCACUUGAGAAGGUCCAUUUUCAAAAUAUCUCACAGGACAACUUGAUGGAAAAUAAAAAUAAUUCUUUUGUGAAAUUUCAUUUCUAUAAGCAGCA
This 482-nucleotide long non-coding RNA is filed under the name Homo sapiens (human). Its description in RNAcentral is "HSALNT0143851". Lineage: Eukaryota; Metazoa; Chordata; Mammalia; Primates; Hominidae. The record is from RNAcentral.